UCGCUAGAUCUUGUGGAGCCAACGUUGAAAUACCACCCUUUACUUACUUGGAGCCUAACUUCUUUAAAGAAGGACAUUGCGUGGUGGGUAGUUUGACUGGGGUGGUCGCCUCCAAAAGAGUAACGGAGGCUUUCAAAGGUACCCUCAGCACGCUUGGUAACCGUGCGUAGAGUGUAAUGGCAUAAGGGUGCUUGACUGUGAGACCAACAAGUCGAUCAGAUGCGAAAGCAGGACAUAGUGAUCCGGUGGUUCUGUAUGGAAGGGCCAUCGCUCAACGGAUAAAAGGUACUCUGGGGAUAACAGGCUGAUACCGCCCAAGAGUUCAUAUCGACGGCGGUGUUUGGCACCUCGAUGUCGGCUCAUCUCAUCCUGGGGCUGUAGCCGGUCCCAAGGGUAUGGCUGUUCGCCAUUUAAAGCGGUACGUGAGUUGGGUUCAGAACGUCGUGAGACA
RNAcentral lists this ribosomal RNA (451 nucleotides) under Gloeochaete wittrockiana. RNAcentral describes it as "partial Bacterial large subunit ribosomal RNA". It matches the Rfam family "Bacterial large subunit ribosomal RNA", at positions 2168 to 2628 of the family's 2925-position model. Lineage: Eukaryota; Glaucocystophyceae; Gloeochaetales; Gloeochaetaceae. The record is from RNAcentral.